This 380-nucleotide ribosomal RNA is filed under the name uncultured eukaryote. RNAcentral's name for it is "partial 18S ribosomal RNA". It matches the Rfam family "Eukaryotic small subunit ribosomal RNA", at positions 592 to 976 of the family's 1831-position model. The record is from RNAcentral.
CAAUAGCGUAUAUUAAAGUUGUUGCGGUUAAAAAGCUCGUAGUUGGAUUUCUGUUGAGGACGACCGGUCCGCACUAUGUGCGUGUAUCUGGUUCGGCCUUGGCAUCCUUCUGGGGAACGGUGCUGCGCUUGAUUGCGUGGUCCGGUAUUCAGAACUUUUACUUUGAGGAAAUUAGAGUGUUUACGGCAGGCAAUCGCCUUGAAUACAUUAGCAUGGAAUAAUACUAUAGGACCUUGGUUCUAUUUUGUUGGUUUCUAGAACUAAGGUAAUGAUUAAUAGGGAUAAUUGGGGGCAUUCGUAUUAACACGUCAGAGGUGAAAUUCUUGGAUUGUGUUACGACGAACUACUGCGAAAGCAUUUGCCAAGGAUGUUUUCAUUGA